Molecule: ribosomal RNA, 117 nt
Filed under: Candidatus Omnitrophota bacterium
Lineage: Bacteria; Pseudomonadati; Candidatus Omnitrophota
Source: RNAcentral
GGGGGUGCUUAUACCGGAGGGGCCACACCCGUUCCCAUUCCGAAUACGGUAGUUAAGUCCUCCAGGGCCGAUGAUACUGCAUCCGCAAGGUUGUGGGAGAGUAGGUCGGUGCCCCCU